AGUCACAAUUAUUGUUUAUAAGCAUUUAAAGUUCAUAUGUUUAGAAAAUAUAUCAAAAUCACGAAAAUUUGCAAAGAAUUUUGAAGUUGAAAAUUCAUAAAAUCUUUGUGAUUUAUACUUAAGGUUGGAUAUACUAGGUUAUCCAUAAGUUUUCCUUCAAGUAACAGUAAAAAAAUAAAUCCAUUGUCAAUAUAGAAAACAUUUUAUGUGCGUAUGAAAUAUAAUUUUUUACGAAAUCGCGUAAAAUAACGAUAUAUUACAAUUUAAAUAUAGGUAAUAAUAUAAUAUAUCCAACUAAUUAUCAUUGACUGACAAAUCAUCUCCGUUCAGAAUCGUUUUUCGUAUACAAUCCUACCCGUCGUUGCAUUCAAAUUUAACACAUCCACUAUAGUGACCAGUGACCUACUCACCAUCUCUACUAUACACCGGAGCGAUACCCACUUUUUUCGUAUUGAAAAGGAGCAAAUUUUCGGUUGUACAAAUAGUCACACUUAUAAUAGGUACAUUUUAUAUUCUACAAAACAUUCUGGUAUAUUUGUAGGUACUAUCUUUUAUGGCUUAUCAUAAUUAUUAUUUCUUAUCGUCUGUUAUAUAAUAUUAUGUCUAUAUUUCCUAUCAUUUUGCAGUUUUACAUUCGUAUUUGUAUUUGAGUUUCAACUGUAAAUUGUUUUCAAGAAUUUUGUAAUAAAAAUGAAGUUUGUCUGUUAGUUUAUGUUUUGAUUGUUUCCAUUUAAAAAAUUUUUCAGUGUUGUCCACGUACUAGUUGUUAUAUAAAAAUUGUUGUCCUCCUUACGGUGUCUAGUAGCGACAUUUUAUCCUCCAACCAUUAUACAUAUUUAACUUACUAUUUUUUUUUUAGAUGGCAGUACAGCAGAUCAUUCAAUACAUGCCGAGACAUGAAUUCACAUUUCUACCACUAUGCUAAAUAUCAAUAUCCUACGUUGAAAAUGUACUAGACGAUACUGCUAAUAACAAGGGUUUUGUGCAACGUGCGUGUAAUGGAUGGCAGUACAGCAGAUCACUCAAUACAUGCUGAGACAUGAAUUCACAUUUCUACCACUAUGCAAAACAUCAACAUCCUACGUUGAAAAUGGACUAGACAGUACUGCUAAUAAUAAUGGUUUUGUGCAACGUGCGCGUAAUGGAUGGCAGUACUGCAGAUCACUGGAGGCAUGCUGAGACAUGAAUUAACAUUUCUAUCACUUGGGAAAGUUACAACAUUUUCCGUUGAAAAUGGAAUAGAAGAUGGCAGUAUAUCAGAUCAAUCAAGGCAUGCUGAGACACGAAUUCACAUUUCUACCACUAAGGAGAGUAUCAACAUCCUAGGUUGAAAAUGGACUAGAAGAUACUGAUAAUAAUAUUGGAUUUAUGCAAUGGUUAUUGAAUAUAAUUGACACUAAAUUAAUAGCUGUGAAACAAUUGAGAUUUGUUAAAUAUCUGAAUAAAAUAAUAGUAAACAACUUUAGCUUGUAUUGUUUAUUCUUAAAUUUUACCUAUGCUAUAAAUAUAUUUUGUUUUUACUAUAAUAUUUAAAUGAUCAUUAUAAAACAUUUAUAAAACACUCAAAUAUUAAGUUCAUGUUUAGAAGGUUGAACAAUAGUUUAAGAAAUUUACCAUUAUUGUCUUUCACGUGUUUCAUUUAACCUGGUAUUUUGAAUACACUAUAAUACAUGUUUUUAUAUGAUAAUUUUGACAAAUUCCAAUUUUAAACUGCUUAUAAAACACUCAAAAUUAUUAAAUGUAUGCACCGACAGAGGGCGGUAGUGGGGACGACAUCCGUCGGCCGAUGCCCGAUCGCCUCAGAGUAAAACUAGUUGGUUGUGUGCCGUUCGCCGGACGGCCUUUUGACAUAAUUGACGGUUGUUUUUACUUAGCUAUUGGGUGUAGUUGUUGUUCAUUUAAUAAAGAUUUUUGAUAUUAUAAACGAAUUGUUCAUAUUUUAUGCCCGAAGUUAACACAAAUGGCAGUACAGCAGAUCAUUCAAUACAUGCCGAGACAUGAAUUCACAUUUCUACCACUAUGCUAAAUAUCAAUAUCCUACGUUGAAAAUGUACUAGACGAUACUGCUAAUAACAAGGGUUUUGUGCAACGUGCGUGUAAUGGAUGGCAGUACAGCAGAUCACUCAAUACAUGCUGAGACAUGAAUUCACAUUUCUACCACUAUGCAAAACAUCAACAUCCUACGUUGAAAAUGGACUAGACAGUACUGCUAAUAAUAAUGGUUUUGUGCAACGUGCGCGUAAUGGAUGGCAGUACUGCAGAUCACUGGAGGCAUGCUGAGACAUGAAUUAACAUUUCUAUCACUUGGGAAAGUUACAACAUUUUCCGUUGAAAAUGGAAUAGAAGAUGGCAGUAUAUCAGAUCAAUCAAGGCAUGCUGAGACACGAAUUCACAUUUCUACCACUAAGGAGAGUAUCAACAUCCUAGGUUGAAAAUGGACUAGAAGAUACUGAUAAUAAUAUUGGAUUUAUGCAAUGGUUAUUGAAUAUAAUUGACACUAAAUUAAUAGCUGUGAAACAAUUGAGAUUUGUUAAAUAUCUGAAUAAAAUAAUAGUAAACAACUUUAGCUUGUAUUGUUUAUUCUUAAAUUUUACCUAUGCUAUAAAUAUAUUUUGUUUUUACUAUAAUAUUUAAAUGAUCAUUAUAAAACAUUUAUAAAACACUCAAAUAUUAAGUUCAUGUUUAGAAGGUUGAACAAUAGUUUAAGAAAUUUACCAUUAUUGUCUUUCACGUGUUUCAUUUAACCUGGUAUUUUGAAUACACUAUAAUACAUGUUUUUAUAUGAUAAUUUUGACAAAUUCCAAUUUUAAACUGCUUAUAAAACACUCAAAAUUAUUAAAUGUAUGCACCGACAGAGGGCGGUAGUGGGGACGACAUCCGUCGGCCGAUGCCCGAUCGCCUCAGAGUAAAACUAGUUGGUUGUGUGCCGUUCGCCGGACGGCCUUUUGACAUAAUUGACGGUUGUUUUUACUUAGCUAUUGGGUGUAGUUGUUGUUCAUUUAAUAAAGAUUUUUGAUAUUAUAAACGAAUUGUUCAUAUUUUAUGCCCGAAGUUAACACAAAUGGCAGUACAGCAGAUCAUUCAAUACAUGCCGAGACAUGAAUUCACAUUUCUACCACUAUGCUAAAUAUCAAUAUCCUACGUUGAAAAUGUACUAGACGAUACUGCUAAUAACAAGGGUUUUGUGCAACGUGCGUGUAAUGGAUGGCAGUACAGCAGAUCACUCAAUACAUGCUGAGACAUGAAUUCACAUUUCUACCACUAUGCAAAACAUCAACAUCCUACGUUGAAAAUGGACUAGACAGUACUGCUAAUAAUAAUGGUUUUGUGCAACGUGCGCGUAAUGGAUGGCAGUACUGCAGAUCACUGGAGGCAUGCUGAGACAUGAAUUAACAUUUCUAUCACUUGGGAAAGUUACAACAUUUUCCGUUGAAAAUGGAAUAGAAGAUGGCAGUAUAUCAGAUCAAUCAAGGCAUGCUGAGACACGAAUUCACAUUUCUACCACUAAGGAGAGUAUCAACAUCCUAGGUUGAAAAUGGACUAGAAGAUACUGAUAAUAAUAUUGGAUUUAUGCAAUGGUUAUUGAAUAUAAUUGACACUAAAUUAAUAGCUGUGAAACAAUUGAGAUUUGUUAAAUAUCUGAAUAAAAUAAUAGUAAACAACUUUAGCUUGUAUUGUUUAUUCUUAAAUUUUACCUAUGCUAUAAAUAUAUUUUGUUUUUACUAUAAUAUUUAAAUGAUCAUUAUAAAACAUUUAUAAAACACUCAAAUAUUAAGUUCAUGUUUAGAAGGUUGAACAAUAGUUUAAGAAAUUUACCAUUAUUGUCUUUCACGUGUUUCAUUUAACCUGGUAUUUUGAAUACACUAUAAUACAUGUUUUUAUAUGAUAAUUUUGACAAAUUCCAAUUUUAAACUGCUUAUAAAACACUCAAAAUUAUUAAAUGUAUGCACCGACAGAGGGCGGUAGUGGGGACGACAUCCGUCGGCCGAUGCCCGAUCGCCUCAGAGUAAAACUAGUUGGUUGUGUGCCGUUCGCCGGACGGCCUUUUGACAUAAUUGACGGUUGUUUUUACUUAGCUAUUGGGUGUAGUUGUUGUUCAUUUAAUAAAGAUUUUUGAUAUUAUAAACGAAUUGUUCAUAUUUUAUGCCCGAAGUUAACACAAAUGGCAGUACAGCAGAUCAUUCAAUACAUGCCGAGACAUGAAUUCACAUUUCUACCACUAUGCUAAAUAUCAAUAUCCUACGUUGAAAAUGUACUAGACGAUACUGCUAAUAACAAGGGUUUUGUGCAACGUGCGUGUAAUGGAUGGCAGUACAGCAGAUCACUCAAUACAUGCUGAGACAUGAAUUCACAUUUCUACCACUAUGCAAAACAUCAACAUCCUACGUUGAAAAUGGACUAGACAGUACUGCUAAUAAUAAUGGUUUUGUGCAACGUGCGCGUAAUGGAUGGCAGUACAGCAGAUCACUCAAUACAUGCUGAGACAUGAAUUCACAUUUCUACCACUAUGCAAAACAUCAACAUCCUACGUUGAAAAUGGACUAGACAGUACUGCUAAUAAUAAUGGUUUUGUGCAACGUGCGCGUAAUGGAUGGCAGUACUGCAGAUCACUGGAGGCAUGCUGAGACAUGAAUUAACAUUUCUAUCACUUGGGAAAGUUACAACAUUUUCCGUUGAAAAUGGAAUAGAAGAUGGCAGUAUAUCAGAUCAAUCAAGGCAUGCUGAGACACGAAUUCACAUUUCUACCACUAAGGAGAGUAUCAACAUCCUAGGUUGAAAAUGGACUAGAAGAUACUGAUAAUAAUAUUGGAUUUAUGCAAUGGUUAUUGAAUAUAAUUGACACUAAAUUAAUAGCUGUGAAACAAUUGAGAUUUGUUAAAUAUCUGAAUAAAAUAAUAGUAAACAACUUUAGCUUGUAUUGUUUAUUCUUAAAUUUUACCUAUGCUAUAAAUAUAUUUUGUUUUUACUAUAAUAUUUAAAUGAUCAUUAUAAAACAUUUAUAAAACACUCAAAUAUUAAGUUCAUGUUUAGAAGGUUGAACAAUAGUUUAAGAAAUUUACCAUUAUUGUCUUUCACGUGUUUCAUUUAACCUGGUAUUUUGAAUACACUAUAAUACAUGUUUUUAUAUGAUAAUUUUGACAAAUUCCAAUUUUAAACUGCUUAUAAAACACUCAAAAUUAUUAAAUGUAUGCACCGACAGAGGGCGGUAGUGGGGACGACAUCCGUCGGCCGAUGCCCGAUCGCCUCAGAGUAAAACUAGUUGGUUGUGUGCCGUUCGCCGGACGGCCUUUUGACAUAAUUGACGGUUGUUUUUACUUAGCUAUUGGGUGUAGUUGUUGUUCAUUUAAUAAAGAUUUUUGAUAUUAUAAACGAAUUGUUCAUAUUUUAUGCCCGAAGUUAACACAAAUGGCAGUACAGCAGAUCAUUCAAUACAUGCCGAGACAUGAAUUCACAUUUCUACCACUAUGCUAAAUAUCAAUAUCCUACGUUGAAAAUGUACUAGACGAUACUGCUAAUAACAAGGGUUUUGUGCAACGUGCGUGUAAUGGAUGGCAGUACAGCAGAUCACUCAAUACAUGCUGAGACAUGAAUUCACAUUUCUACCACUAUGCAAAACAUCAACAUCCUACGUUGAAAAUGGACUAGACAGUACUGCUAAUAAUAAUGGUUUUGUGCAACGUGCGCGUAAUGGAUGGCAGUACUGCAGAUCACUGGAGGCAUGCUGAGACAUGAAUUAACAUUUCUAUCACUUGGGAAAGUUACAACAUUUUCCGUUGAAAAUGGAAUAGAAGAUGGCAGUAUAUCAGAUCAAUCAAGGCAUGCUGAGACACGAAUUCACAUUUCUACCACUAAGGAGAGUAUCAACAUCCUAGGUUGAAAAUGGACUAGAAGAUACUGAUAAUAAUAUUGGAUUUAUGCAAUGGUUAUUGAAUAUAAUUGACACUAAAUUAAUAGCUGUGAAACAAUUGAGAUUUGUUAAAUAUCUGAAUAAAAUAAUAGUAAACAACUUUAGCUUGUAUUGUUUAUUCUUAAAUUUUACCUAUGCUAUAAAUAUAUUUUGUUUUUACUAUAAUAUUUAAAUGAUCAUUAUAAAACAUUUAUAAAACACUCAAAUAUUAAGUUCAUGUUUAGAAGGUUGAACAAUAGUUUAAGAAAUUUACCAUUAUUGUCUUUCACGUGUUUCAUUUAACCUGGUAUUUUGAAUACACUAUAAUACAUGUUUUUAUAUGAUAAUUUUGACAAAUUCCAAUUUUAAACUGCUUAUAAAACACUCAAAAUUAUUAAAUGUAUGCACCGACAGAGGGCGGUAGUGGGGACGACAUCCGUCGGCCGAUGCCCGAUCGCCUCAGAGUAAAACUAGUUGGUUGUGUGCCGUUCGCCGGACGGCCUUUUGACAUAAUUGACGGUUGUUUUUACUUAGCUAUUGGGUGUAGUUGUUGUUCAUUUAAUAAAGAUUUUUGAUAUUAUAAACGAAUUGUUCAUAUUUUAUGCCCGAAGUUAACACAAAUGGCAGUACAGCAGAUCAUUCAAUACAUGCCGAGACAUGAAUUCACAUUUCUACCACUAUGCUAAAUAUCAAUAUCCUACGUUGAAAAUGUACUAGACGAUACUGCUAAUAACAAGGGUUUUGUGCAACGUGCGUGUAAUGGAUGGCAGUACAGCAGAUCACUCAAUACAUGCUGAGACAUGAAUUCACAUUUCUACCACUAUGCAAAACAUCAACAUCCUACGUUGAAAAUGGACUAGACAGUACUGCUAAUAAUAAUGGUUUUGUGCAACGUGCGCGUAAUGGAUGGCAGUACUGCAGAUCACUGGAGGCAUGCUGAGACAUGAAUUAACAUUUCUAUCACUUGGGAAAGUUACAACAUUUUCCGUUGAAAAUGGAAUAGAAGAUGGCAGUAUAUCAGAUCAAUCAAGGCAUGCUGAGACACGAAUUCACAUUUCUACCACUAAGGAGAGUAUCAACAUCCUAGGUUGAAAAUGGACUAGAAGAUACUGAUAAUAAUAUUGGAUUUAUGCAAUGGUUAUUGAAUAUAAUUGACACUAAAUUAAUAGCUGUGAAACAAUUGAGAUUUGUUAAAUAUCUGAAUAAAAUAAUAGUAAACAAC
Long non-coding RNA from Rhopalosiphum padi (bird cherry-oat aphid), 7109 nucleotides. RefSeq lists it as uncharacterized. The transcript has 25 exons. The record is from RefSeq and is a predicted model, not a curated record. NCBI's taxonomy places the organism in Eukaryota, Metazoa, Arthropoda, Insecta, Hemiptera, Aphididae.